UACGUAGGGUGCGAGCGUUGUCCGGAAUUAUUGGGCGUAAAGCGCACGUAGGCGGUUCGUUUAAGUCGGAUGUGAAAGCCCUCGGCUCAACUGAGGAAGUGCACCCGAAACUGGCGAGCUUGAGUACGAAAGAGGAUCGCGGAAUUCCCGGUGUAGAGGUGAAAUUCGUAGAUAUCGGGAGGAACACCGGUGGCGAAGGCGGCGAAUCUGGGUCGAUACUGACGCUGAGGUGCGAAAGCGUGGGGAGCAAACAGGG
This 256-nucleotide ribosomal RNA is filed under the name uncultured bacterium. Its description in RNAcentral is "partial 16S ribosomal RNA". It matches the Rfam family "Bacterial small subunit ribosomal RNA", at positions 524 to 777 of the family's 1533-position model. The record is from RNAcentral.